RNAcentral lists this unclassified non-coding RNA (1951 nucleotides) under Leishmania donovani. RNAcentral's name for it is "gene:LdHU3.09.1720(CDS-product:Glycosyl_hydrolase _family_47_putative)". The record is from RNAcentral. Lineage: Eukaryota; Euglenozoa; Kinetoplastea; Trypanosomatida; Trypanosomatidae.
CAUACGGGCACACCGGGAUACCGGCGCCGACAGAGAAAGUGGGCAGGUAGGCUAUCACUCCGGGUCUGCUGCACAUCCUAUCGUCACAUGCUGUUCGCCGGCCCCCUCCGGUGCUUCGCAUCUCUCGCACAUAUGAAUUUCUGCACGCAGAUGCAGCGGCGACGCAUUAGGUACCAAUCGCGCCUUCUUGACCGCUAUAUCGUGUUUGCGGUGCUGGGCGUCGUGGCAUACAUCCUCGUACUCAGCCUGAUCGCCGAGAGCCUGGCCACCGGCGUAAGAGACCGCGCCAAGGCGAAGGUGUCAGCAGCGGAGGUGAAGCAUGCGACGAGCUCGAUCCCGGAAGAAGUCUUCUGGCCGCACCGCUGGCCGGCUGCCCCAAUCUCUGAGGUACACAUCAUAAAGGAAGCUAUGGAGUACGUUACCGCGUCACUCACGAAGGUGAUGCCCUUCACGGAGCACUUACCCGAGGCACAACUUGCUGCGUGGGAUCUCGUGUUGCUUACUGGUGUCAGCACUGAGUGGACGCCAACGGCAAAGGAACUGAAGGCGGCGGCUGAAGCGGCGCUGAGCACAGCGGCAUCUACGGCGCCCUCAGAGGCGCUUGCUGCCGUGCGCGAGGCACUCGAAAGUGCUGCAGUGGUGUGGUCGAUGAAGGGUGCUGCCGGUGAGGCGGACGAGGUGCGGGAAUUCUUGAAGGGCAUGCCCGAAACACCAGCGCCGGCAGUGACUUCAGCUGCCUCGUGGUCAGCAUUCAGCCGUGAGGUGUGGAGCUGCGUCACUGCCGGCGGUGCCUCGUUCACCACUGACAGCAUCACGGCGGCGCACGACACCUUGCGUAAGGCCAGUGAGUUUUUCUGGCAUCCUGGCGAGCAGGCAGCAGCGGUGCCGCCGCUGCAUGACUCGCACCUUCUCCCCUUGCGGUCCGGCACCUACGAUGCGGUAGUUCCUUUCGCGCGUCUCUUGCUGCAGUUGUGGGUGCGGGGUGGACGGCGGGACUCGGACAAGCAGCUUGUGGAGGCAUACGAUGCGGCUGUGAUGUCGAUUGUGCAGGAUCUCUUCUACACGCGCACUGUCACCGCGGGGGUGCAGGCAAUGAACUUCACGUUCGUAGGCUCUCGUGCAGAAGCCUUGGUGCCAGUAGCCACACCACGCAUGUGCGCGCUGGCUGGAGUGUUAGCCCAAGGCAUCCGCUACGGCGCACAUCGUUACCCGGCACGCCCAUCCUCUGCACGGUACAGUGAAGACGAUGUGCUGCAGGCCGCUGAAGCGCUGGCCACCUCGUGCUUCCAGCUGUACGCCGAACCAGCCGGCCGCAAGCUGCGUAGCGCCGUCUACGUCACCGGCUCUGGUCCCGUGCCCGGCUACACACGCGCCACCAACGACGACACUAGUGCGUCGCUGCGGUCCUCUUACUGCGACGUUCCCGGUGUGCUCCUGGAGUCUUUCUACGAGUUGUACCAGACAACGCAUGAUGCCAUGUACGGUCUGUGGUCAGUACUCGUGAUGCGGCAGGAUACUUCUGACCAUUGCGGAUUGCGCAAAACAGACAUCACCUCUGCCACGCCGUGGCGGCGCCAUAUUCGCGAGCUGCGCACUCUUUGGCUUCUGUUCCACCGCAUGGACUGUCUUGUGUACCGCGGCUCGCGAGGGUCGCGGAGGAUGUGCGGUUUGGCCACUACCACCAUCGUCUCGCCCGUCACUGGGCACCUGGUGCCAGUGCCGAACACGCCAGCAGCGCUGUAGGGCCGUCGAGCACCGUGGCCGAGGUGUUUUGACAAAGGGACCGCGAAAAAACGUGAAGAAGAGGCCCUGCGGUGGAAAGCCAUCACGGCCUCGAGGGAGGCGUGUGCGCACGACUGCACGCAGCCCCUCGUUGCCGGUGUUUAACGCUCUUUCCUUGCGUUGCUUGGCUUGUCCGACUAAAGUGACCUGCUCGUGCAGCUGACGUCGU